UACGGGGGGGGCAAGCGUUGUUCGGAAUUACUGGGCGUAAAGGGCUCGUAGGCGGCCAACUAAGUCGGAUGUGAAAUCCCCAAGCUUAACUUGGGAACUGCAUCCGAUACUGGAUGGCUUGAAUCCGGGAGAGGGAUGCAGAAUUCCAGGUGUAGCGGUGAAAUGCGUAGAUAUCUGGAGGAGUACCGGUGGCGAAGGCGGCAUCCUGGACCGGCAUUGACGCCGAGGAGCGAAAGCUAGGGGAGCAAACGGG
RNAcentral lists this ribosomal RNA (253 nucleotides) under uncultured bacterium. RNAcentral describes it as "partial 16S ribosomal RNA". It matches the Rfam family "Bacterial small subunit ribosomal RNA", at positions 524 to 776 of the family's 1533-position model. The record is from RNAcentral.